Molecule: long non-coding RNA, 435 nt
Organism: Eriocheir sinensis (Chinese mitten crab)
Lineage: Eukaryota; Metazoa; Arthropoda; Malacostraca; Decapoda; Varunidae
Exons: 3
Source: RefSeq, a predicted model, not a curated record
GAGAGGAGGAGGACAGAGAAGGGAGGACGGAAAGAAGGAGAGGGAGCAAACACGGACGUGAAGGGAUAGUGAGGACUGAGGAGCGAGAGGAAGAGGAAGGAAGAGAAAGAGUGCACACCGAGUGUAGACGAGUCCCUCUUCCCUUCCCUUCCCUGCUGCGGCUUCACCGACCCGAGGCGCGAGGCAGCGGGCCAGCGAGCACCGGGCCGCCGCCUCCCUGAGGCCCGCCCUCCACCUGGACACGACGUGACAGCCUGGCCACACACUGUACCUUUGGGUGUUGUGGCAGAGGUCCGCCGUCUCACUGCGAGGGACGCCUUGCUGGAAUUUGAAGUCCCUUGUGCCCACACAACGCACUGCAGCACUGCUUGGUCGUUGCAAAACACUCGUUCAUGAUAUUAACUUCUUAAAAUAUGGUCUGGGGGAUAUGUCGAG